GACGAACGCUGGCGGCGUGCUUAACACAUGCAAGUCGAACGGUGAAGCGCCUUCCUUUUUGGUGGGUGUGGAUGAGUGGCGAACGGGUGAGUAACACGUGAGUAACCUGCCCCCUUCUUCUGGAUAACCGCAUGCAAGUGUGGCUACUACGGGGUAUUCUGGGUCUGUCGCUUGAUGGGUCUGGGAAAGAUUUUGUUUCGGUGGGGGAUGGGCUCGCGGCCUUUCAGCUUGUUGGUGGGGUGAUGGCCUACCAAGGCGGUGACGGGUAGCCGGCCUGAGAGGGUGGACGGACACAGAGGGAGAGAGAGACGGACAAGACUCGUGCGGGAGGCAGAAGGGGGGAAUAUUGCACAAUGGGAGUAAGCCUGAUGCAGCGACGCCGAGUGAAGGAUGGAGGCCGUCGGGUUGAGAACCUCUUUCGCGAGUGAAGCAGGCGUGCCUGGUUUGUGGAUGGGUUGACGGUAGCUGGAUAAGAAGCGCCGGCUAACUACGUG
Molecule: ribosomal RNA, 494 nt
Filed under: uncultured bacterium
Lineage: Bacteria
Description: partial 16S ribosomal RNA
Rfam family: Bacterial small subunit ribosomal RNA
Source: RNAcentral